AAAUGAAUUGACGGGGGCCCGCACAAGCGGUGGAGCAUGUGGUUUAAUUCGAAGCAACGCGAAGAACCUUACCAGGGCUUGACAUCCCGCUGACCGGUGUAGAGAUACACCUUCCCUUCGGGGCAGCGGUGACAGGUGGUGCAUGGUUGUCGUCAGCUCGUGUCGUGAGAUGUUGGGUUAAGUCCCGCAACGAGCGCAACCCUCGUUGUCAGUUGCCAGCACGUAAUGGUGGGCACUCUGGCGAGACAGCCGGUGAAAGCCGGAGGAAGGUGGGGAUGACGUCAAAUCAUCAUGCCCCUUAUGUCCUGGGCGACACACGUGCUACAAUGGCCGGUACAAUGGGUAGCGAAGCCGCGAGGUGGAGCCAAUCCCCAAAGCCGGUCUCAGUUCGGAUCGCAGGCUGCAACUCGCCUGCGUGAAGCAGGAAUCGCUAGUAAUCGCGGAUCAGAAUGCCGCGGUGAAUACGUUCCCGGGCCUUGUACACACCGCCCGU
This 493-nucleotide ribosomal RNA is filed under the name uncultured bacterium. Its description in RNAcentral is "bacterial SSU rRNA". It matches the Rfam family "Bacterial small subunit ribosomal RNA", at positions 903 to 1397 of the family's 1533-position model. The record is from RNAcentral.